GGUUAACAAGAAAGGGUUUAGUAACAACUUAUAAGAAAGUAUUUAUGUUGUCAUUAUGACGAUUAGAUUUUCUAGCAUUAUAAACUUCAUUUUUUCUUUCUUUCUUCAAAUUGAGAUAAUUACUCUACUAGCCUUUUAUUUGUCUUGAAAGACCAAUAAUAAUAUUGUUGAAGUCAAUGUCAUCUGGAAUAUCUUUGCAUCAAUAAGUCACAAAAAGAUGGAAAAAUUUUCAAUGACUUAAAUAAUUUGAUAUUUGUCAUUCUAUCAAUAUUCCAUUUGAUAAUAUCAUCUCCAGUAUAAGAGACUUGUCUCUUUUUCUUUUGCGCAUAUUGCAUGCCAAGAAAAGAAGGCUUGGAAUAGUGAUUUAGAAUUUUUGAAUAAUUUUGAUUUUAAAUUUUAUUUAUGUGAAAAGUUUCUUCUUCAAAUUGCUUUUUAGUUCUUCAAUUGAGUAGACCAUGUUUACAUUUUUUGGCGCAUUUAACUUUGAAAGUUGUUUUGACAUUUUUGCCAAAAUACUCUGUUAACAAAUUUUGAUUUCCCAAUUUAGGUUUUGAAAUGGUUUCAUCGAAAGGUUCAAAUAAUGGAUAACUUAUCCUUUCUUUUGUUAGAGUUGUUGGUUCUUUUACUUCUUUCUAGGAACUUUCAGAUUCAAAGUUUGACUCAAUUCUUUUUUGUUGAGAUAUCAUUGAGUAUAUAAUUAUAUAGAGCUUGUAUAUUUUUGUAUCUUUAAUUGAGGCAUAAUUGUAAUGGGUUUCUCUUGAAAACGAUGAUCAUACCUUCCAUUCUGUACCAUCCAACUCCAUAUACUCAUAUCUCUCAAAUUUCGGGAUCAAUGUAUUCAACUGGAGCUUUUGGAUACACGGCUUCACUUUUUACACCUGAAAAAUGGGAAAAGAAUUUAAAGCCCAUUCCUCUUCCUGAUACAAAGAA
This 930-nucleotide long non-coding RNA is filed under the name Olea europaea (common olive). Its description in RNAcentral is "long non-coding RNA (OEUR_LNC004526)". The record is from RNAcentral. Lineage: Eukaryota; Viridiplantae; Streptophyta; Magnoliopsida; Lamiales; Oleaceae.